AGUUUGCAUAGCUAGCUGCCUACAUGUUAUACUACUAUGUCUUGGAGUUGGCAUGCCUUACUAGUGUAGGAAAGGGCGCUGGAGUCUGCGUCGUUUUAGAUGCUAUAAGUAGGGAGUAGGUUUAGAUUGUUUCGGCCAUGUAGCAUGUCAUAUCGUGGAACCAGGUCGUGCAAGAGUUUUUCCAUACAAGAACAAGGUCAUGUAAGAGUUUUGGUAUAAAAUAAGAUAAGAAAGAGUACGGUAAAGGACUUCGUGCACAUGUAUUCAGCUAUUUUGAUGUUCGAUUCUGUGGGCAAAAGCGAACAUAGAUUACUAAUGCAUAUGCCAAAUUAGCAGGCUACAGAGACUCGAUUGUUCCAAGUCGAUGUUGUUGGCGCUAAAACAUAGAAGACUACUGUGCCAAGCUGGAUUUACUAGGAGAUAGAUUCAAAUAUUCGAUGGUGCAUAUCUCAGAUGUUGGUUGCAAGGUCAAGAAUAGGGGUGCUACUAGAUAGUUUCACAUUGUGUCUUAGAAUGCCAUUUCCAGUUCCAAUGUUUCAAUCAUUAUGUAUCUGAUAUUUUUGGUAUCAAUGUUAGAUCAUUAUGUUUCAGAAUGGCUGACACGAAGGUUGCAAGGUCAAGAAUGGGAUUACUACUAGUUUCACAUCUUGCAAUCUUUGUAUGGUGUACUUUGUAAUGCAACCAAGUUGAUUUAAUAUAUGAUGAGAAAUUUCUGUUUA
Molecule: non-coding RNA, 719 nt
Organism: Triticum urartu
Lineage: Eukaryota; Viridiplantae; Streptophyta; Magnoliopsida; Poales; Poaceae
Source: RefSeq, a predicted model, not a curated record